This 253-nucleotide ribosomal RNA is filed under the name uncultured bacterium. RNAcentral describes it as "partial 16S ribosomal RNA". It matches the Rfam family "Bacterial small subunit ribosomal RNA", at positions 524 to 776 of the family's 1533-position model. The record is from RNAcentral.
UACGUAGGGUGCAAGCGUUAUCCGGAUUCACUGGGCUUAAAGGGUGCGUAGGCGGGCAUGUAAGUCUGUGGUGAAAUCUCCAAGCUUAACUUGGAAACUGCCAUGGAUACUAUAUGUCUUGAAUGUUGUGGAGGUUAGCGGAAUAUGUCAUGUAGCGGUGAAAUGCAUAGAGAUGACGUAGAACACCAAUUGCGAAGGCAGCUGGCUGCGCAAAUAUUGACGCUGAGGCACGAAAGCGUGGGGAGCAAACAGG